GUCGGGAUAGCUCAGUCGGUAGAGCACAGGACUCAUAAGCCUGGGGUCGUGGGUUCGAUCCCCACUCCCGACA
Molecule: transfer RNA, 73 nt
Filed under: Candidatus Parcubacteria bacterium
Lineage: Bacteria; Candidatus Parcubacteria
Description: tRNA-Met
Rfam family: tRNA
About the family: Transfer RNA (tRNA) molecules are approximately 80 nucleotides in length. Their secondary structure includes four short double-helical elements and three loops (D, anti-codon, and T loops).
Source: RNAcentral